This 434-nucleotide ribosomal RNA is filed under the name uncultured bacterium. RNAcentral's name for it is "partial 16S ribosomal RNA". It matches the Rfam family "Bacterial small subunit ribosomal RNA", at positions 29 to 507 of the family's 1533-position model. The record is from RNAcentral.
AGCGAACGCUGGCGGAAGGACGAACACAUGCAAGUCGAACGAACCUUUCGGGGUUAGUGGCGGACGGGUGAGUAACACGUGGGAACGUGCCUUUAGGUUCGGAAUAACUCAGGGAAACUUGUGCUAAUACCGAAUGUGCCCUUCGGGGGAAAGAUUUAUCGCCUUUAGAGCGGCCCGCGUCUGAUUAGCUAGUUGGUUGAGGUAAUGGCUCACCAAGGCGACGAUCAGUAGCUGGUCUGAGAGGAUGAUCAGCCACAUUGGGACUGAGACACGGCCCAAACUCCUACGGGAGGCAGCAGUGGGGAAUCUUGCGCAAUGGGCGAAAGCCUGACGCAGCCAUGCCGCGUGAAUGAUGAAGGUCUUAGGAUUGUAAAAUUCUUUCACCGGGGACGAUAAUGACGGUACCCGGAGAAGAAGCCCCGGCUAACUUCGUG